GAAAAGAAACCAACAGGGAUUGCCCUAGUAACGGCGAGUGAAGCGGCAACAGCUCAAAUUUGAAAUCUGGCCUCGGCCCGAGUUGUAAUUUGCAGAGGAUGCUUUUGGCGCGGUGCCUUCCGAGUUCCCUGGAACGGGACGCCACAGAGGGUGAGAGCCCCGUAUGGUUGGACACCAAGCCUGUGUAAAGCUCCUUCGACGAGUCGAGUAGUUUGGGAAUGCUGCUCAAAAUGGGAGGUAAAUCUCUUCUAAAGCUAAAUACCGGCCAGAGACCGAUAGCGCACAAGUAGAGUGAUCGAAAGAUGAAAAGCACCUUGAAAAGGGGGUUAAACAGUACGUGAAAUUGUUGAAAGGGAAGCGCUUGUGACCAGACUUGCGCCUGGCGGCUCAUCCGGGGUUCUCUCCGGUGCACUCCGCCAGGCUCAGGCCAGCAUCGGUUCUGGCGGGGGGAUAAGAUCGGCGGGAACGUAGCACCCUCCGGGGUGUGUUAUAGCCCGCCGAACGAUACCCUCGCGGGGACCGAGGUUCGCGCUCCGCAAGGAUGCUGGCGUAAUGGUCAUCAGCGACCCGUCUUGAAACACGGACCAAGGAGUCGUCCAUUAUAGCGAGCGUUUGGGUGUAAAACCCGCACGCGUAAUGAAAGUGAAAUUAGGUGAGAGCUUCGGCGCAUCAUCGACCGAUCCUGAUGUUCUCGGAAGGAUUUGAGUAAGAGUUAUAACGGACGGACCCGAAAGACAGUGAACUAUGCUUGUAUAGGGUGAAGCCAGAGGAAACUCUGGUGGAGGCUCGCAGCGGUUCUGACGUGCAAAUCGAUCGUCAAAUAUGAGCAUGGGGGCGAAAGACUAAUCGAACUGUCUAGUAGCUGGU
RNAcentral lists this ribosomal RNA (867 nucleotides) under Stegonsporium acerinum. RNAcentral's name for it is "LSU rRNA". It matches the Rfam family "Eukaryotic large subunit ribosomal RNA", at positions 56 to 955 of the family's 3401-position model. RNAcentral also lists the same sequence under 2 other names. The record is from RNAcentral. Lineage: Eukaryota; Fungi; Ascomycota; Sordariomycetes; Diaporthales; Stilbosporaceae.